AUUGAACGCUGGCGGCAUGCUUUACACAUGCAAGUCGAACGGUAACAGGCCGCCAGGUGCUGACGAGUGGCGAACGGGUGCGUAAUGCAUCGGAACGUGCCCAGUCGUGGGGGAUAACUACUCGAACGAGUAGCUAAUACCGCAUACGAUCUAUGGAUGAAAGCGGGGGACCGUAAGGCCUCGCGCGAUUGGAGCGGCCGAUGUCAGAUUAGGUAGUUGGUGGGGUAAAGGCUCACCAAGCCAACGAUCUGUAGCUGGUCUGAGAGGACGACCAGCCACACUGGGACUGAGACACGGCCCAGACUCCUACGGGAGGCAGCAGUGGGGAAUUUUGGACAAUGGGCGCAAGCCUGAUCCAGCAAUGCCGCGUGCAGGAAGAAGGCCUUCGGGUUGUAAACUGCUUUUGUACGGAACGAAACGGCUCUGGUUAAUACCCGGGGCUAAUGACGGCACCGUAAGAAUAAGCACCGGCUAACUACGUG
RNAcentral lists this ribosomal RNA (482 nucleotides) under uncultured bacterium. RNAcentral's name for it is "partial 16S ribosomal RNA". It matches the Rfam family "Bacterial small subunit ribosomal RNA", at positions 30 to 507 of the family's 1533-position model. The record is from RNAcentral.